UACGAAGGGGGCGAGCGUUGUUCGGAAUUACUGGGCGUAAAGGGCGCGUAGGCGGUUUGUCAAGUCAGGCGUGAAAGCCCCGGGCUCAACCUGGGAACCGCGCUUGAGACUGGCACGCUCGAGUUCGGGAGAGGAUGGUGGAAUUCCCAGUGUAGAGGUGAAAUUCGUAGAUAUUGGGAAGAACACCGAUGGCGAAGGCAGCCAUCUGGACCGAAACUGACGCUGAGGCGCGAAAGCGUGGGGAGCAAACAGG
RNAcentral lists this ribosomal RNA (253 nucleotides) under uncultured bacterium. RNAcentral describes it as "partial 16S ribosomal RNA". It matches the Rfam family "Bacterial small subunit ribosomal RNA", at positions 524 to 776 of the family's 1533-position model. The record is from RNAcentral.